AUUGAACGCUGGCGGCAUGGCUAAAACAUGCAAGUCGAGCGCGAAAGUCCCUUCGGGGGCGAGUAGAGCGGCGAACGGGCGAGGAACGCAUUCCCACGUACCCCAAGGUCAGGGAUAGCCCGGGGAAACCCGGAGUAAUACCUGAUGUGGUCCACGGAUCAAAGGCUUGCCGCCUUGGGAGCGGGGAAUGUCCUAUCAGGUUGUUGGUGAGGUAAAGGCUCACCAAGCCGAAGACGGGUAGCGGGUGUGAGAGCAUGACCCGCCGCAUCGGGACUGAGACACUGCCCGGACUCCUACGGGAGGCUGCAGUAACGAAUAUUCCGCAAUGCGCGAAAGCGUGACGGAGCAAUGCCGCGUGCAGGAUGAACGCCCCUCGGGGUGUAAACUGCUGUCAGGGUACAGGAACACAAUGACCAUACCCAAAGGAAGGGCCGGCUAACUUCGUG
Molecule: ribosomal RNA, 446 nt
Filed under: uncultured bacterium
Lineage: Bacteria
Description: bacterial SSU rRNA
Rfam family: Bacterial small subunit ribosomal RNA
Source: RNAcentral